AUGAAGGAGAAGCUGGAGGAGAUGAACAGACACAUCUCAGCUCUUUCACACACAAUCAAAGACACGGAGGAGAUGAUGAGAGCCAGUGACGUCUGCUUUCUGAAGGAGUUUCCAGUCUCAAUGGAAAGAGUCCAGAUCUCAUCACAGCUGGAUCCACAGACGCCUUCUGGAGCUUUGAUUCAUGUGCCACAUUACUUG
This is a long non-coding RNA of Sinocyclocheilus rhinocerous, 198 nucleotides long. RefSeq lists it as uncharacterized. The record is from RefSeq and is a predicted model, not a curated record. NCBI's taxonomy places the organism in Eukaryota, Metazoa, Chordata, Actinopteri, Cypriniformes, Cyprinidae. The transcript has 3 exons.